Long non-coding RNA from Physeter macrocephalus (sperm whale), 963 nucleotides. RefSeq lists it as uncharacterized. Lineage: Eukaryota; Metazoa; Chordata; Mammalia; Artiodactyla; Physeteridae. The transcript is spliced from 3 exons. The record is from RefSeq and is a predicted model, not a curated record.
CGCCAACAUUCCCUCCGGCAACAAACUAGAGCAGAAGCCAGCCGGCUUGCUCUGAAUACCUCAGUCCCGCCGAUCUCCGGAUCACCAGCUGGUUUUGAUUGUGGCUGGAUCUCAGAAGGCGGCGGGCCACACGUCUGUCCCGUUCACGGCUGAGAUGUCGUCCACGAAACUCGGGAACCCUAACCACACCGUAGACCGGACUGUGAUACCUAAGGGAGAAUCAGGUGAUGCUUUGUAUCUGCUCCUAAUGCAAAUCUAAAGGUGACUUGUUGACUCUGUAAAAAUGAUGGAUGGACGGAUGGAUGGAUAGAUAGAUAGAUAGGAAGGGAAAGAGAAAGAUGUGAGGGAGACAGGGAGGAAAGAAACACACGCUGGUGUGUGCAGAGAGACAGAGAAAAAAAUAAGACUCAGAAAAUAAUUAUUAUGGUGGUGGAGCAAAAUCCCAGGCACUUUGACGUCAACUUCCACCACCGUUAGCCAGAGUGCUGUCCUAAUGUUGUCUCCUUAUUUGGCACCCAGAAGUGAUUAUGUGAAUAACAAUUUCUAUUUCUUGGCUACAUUUUUAACGUCCAAGUUAACUAGUCCUCACAUAAAAAAGAAUGAUUGAAAAGGCACAUACUGAAGUUUAAAAAGAUAGUUCUUUCAUUCUUUAAAAAAAAUACAUUUAAGAUUUUCACAAAUUAGCUCUUGAUAAUCUACUUUUGACAUUUAUUAUUUGUGAGUUUUCCUUGCUAUUUGACCCAAAUAUCUAAUUCUCCUCAACACAGUAUACACACCUAAGGCAUAUAUUAGGGUUCUUUGUUAAGUAAUUCGAUAGAUAGCCUUUGUUUAAGCAUUCACUAUGUAACACGCUGCUCAAGGGGACCCGUGAGCAGUACAGUUACACACUAGUGUAGUGUGUGUAUUUCACAUACAAAAAUAUACACUGUGUCAUAUACCACUAAAGGGGGACUAUUAACACUA